AACUUCCGGUAAAAUUCUGUGGUUUGGUUUUUUUUUUUACUUGAAAAAACAAAUAAGUUUAAGUGUUGUCGAAAUGGGAUGCGAUGGAGGGACAAUCCCAACAAGAGAUGAGUUAGUGAGGACUAGAAAAAAGCCAGAAAAAAAAGACAGGACUGCGGAAUUGGACGCCAAAUGGAAACACUGUGCUCUGAGUCAGGAGCCUCUUGUGCCUCCCAUCAUGGCUUGUGAACUCGGCAGUGAUCUGAGUUUCAGACUAUACAACAAGGAGUCAACUCUUGAGUUGCUGUUGGACAGAACUAAAUUUGACUGUGCUGCGAGUUUCGACCAUCUCAAAAGUCUAAAGGAUCUUCGACAACUGAAUUUGACUACUAACCGUGGAUACACAGGAGGAAAAGCAGAAAUGGGGAAUUGCUACAUCGAUACUCAGACUUCUGUGUAUAUUUGUCCAGUUGCUGGUCUUGAAAUGAACGGUACAUACAAGUUUUGCUUUCCGUGGUCAUGUGGAUGUGUUAUAUCAGAACGGGCUUUGAAAGAAGUUCCCACUGAAGUUUGUCACACGUGUGGUGAAAAAUUCAUGCAGGAUGACAUUAUCGUUCUGAAUCCCCCAGAGGAAGAUCUCGACACUGUGAGACUCCAGAUGGAGGCCAGAAGACUCCGACUUAAGCGUGACAAGAAAUUGCGAAAAGCUCAAAAACACACGAUAGCAGACAUCAUCAUUGACAGUGUGGCUGAAGAUGGACCUACGACCAGCAAACGAGUUCGAUUCACACAAUCAGCAGGGCAGAAAAACAAGCUUGUUACCGGAACAUCAGCAAGUCGGCCAAAUGGAAUGGACACAAGACUGGAGCAUAAGUCAAAACCAACUAAUGGGAAGGCGGAGGACAAAUCUACAAAGUCAACAGGAAUCCAAGAAGAUCCUACAACAAGUACAGUGUACAAAUCACUGUUCACUUCAUCCGAUAAGGCGAAGAACCAGCAAAAAGCUCACUGGGUGACAUUCAACCCAAUGUAUUACUGAGGUUAUUUACAACUCAACCCAGUGUAUUACUGAGGUUAUUUACAACUCAACCCUGUGUAUUACUGAGGUUAUUUACAACUCAACCCAGUGUAUUACUGAGGUUAUUUACAACUAAACCCUGUGUGUUACUGAGGUUAUUUACAACUCAACCCUGUGUUACUGAGGUUGAUUACAACUCAACCCACUGUUACUGAGGUUAUUUGUAACAGUAUGUAAUGUAAUUAAACCUCACUGUAAUCCACUGUUACUGAGGUUAUUUGUAACAGUAUGUAAUAUAAUUAAACCUCACUAUAAUCCAGUUACUACUGAGGUUAUUUGUAACAGUAUGUAAUAUAAUUAAACCUCACUGGAUAACUGAGGUUAUUUGUAACGGUAUGUAAUAUAAUUAAACUUCACUAAUUCACUGUUACUACUGAGGUUAUUUGUAACGGUAUGUAAUAUAAUUAAACCUCACUAAUCCACUGUUACUACUGAGGUUAUUUGUAACGGUAUGUAAUAUAAUUAAACUUUACUAAUCCACUUUUACUACUGAGGUUAUUUGUAACAGUAUGUAAUAUAAUUAAACCUCACUAAUCCACUGUUUCUACUGAGGUUAUUUGUAACAGUAUGUAAUAUAAUUAAACCUCACUAAUUCACUGUUACUACUGAGGUUAUUUGUAACAGUAUGUAAUAAUUUGUAACAGUAUGUAAUAUAAUUAAACCUCACUAAUCCACUGUUUCUACUGAGGUUAUUUGUAAUAGUAUGUAAUAUAAUUAAACCUCACUAAUUCCGUGUUACUACUGAGGUUAUUUGUAACAGUAUAUAUUAUAAUUAAACCUCACUAAUUCACUGUUACUACUGAGGUUAUUUGUAACAGUAUAUAUUAUAAUUAAACCUCACUAAUUGACUGUUACUACUGAGGUUAUUUGUAACAGUAUAUAUUAUAAUUAAACUUCAAUGGAUAGCUCUGUGUUGCAGACACUCAGUACAUGCUUAAUUUUUCAUGUGAUUUUAAUUUUCCAUUUGGAAGAAAAUAAUAAGAAUGGGCCUACAUUUCUGGUGUGAGAAAGAUACAAUGUAUCUGUUUGAAAUCAUCAUCACAGUCGAUACAAAGUCUGCACCGCAGUGAUACAAACAAAGUCAGCACCGCAGUGAUACAAAGUCAGCAUCACAGUCGAUACAAAGUCAGCAUCACAGUCGAUACAAAGUCAGCAUCACAGUUGAUACAAAGUCUACACCGCAGUGAUACAAAGUCUGCACCGCAGUGAUACUAAGUCAGCAUCACAGUCGAUACAGAGUCUGCACCGCAAUGAUACAAAGUCUGCACCGCAGUAAUACAAAGUCAGCAUCGCAGUGAUACAAAGUCUGCACCGCAGUGAUACAAAGUCGGUGCUGUCUAUUAGAAGUUCCCUUUGAUCAUUUUGCUGCAUGUACAAAAUCACAUGCUGUUCGCAAAUUAAAGCAACUGUCCUGAGUUUCCGGUUUUUCUCCCUCUAAAAAGUAAACACAUCCUACUUUUUCAAGUUUCUAAUUGCAUUUCCAAUAGACAACUGCCUCUAUCCCCACCCAUUAUACAUUUCGAAAUCACAGUGAAAAGCAUAACUGCAUCUAUUAAUCUUUAAUUGCUUUUUGGUAUCUGUGUGGUUACAUUGCAGUAGGCUUAUACAUGUAAGUUAUAUAUGCAGUAUUCUGAAACUUCAAUUUUUUUGUAAUAAAAACAAACACAAGCCUUGCUUAAUCAGUUUAUUAAAAUAUUACAUACACAGCCAGAAAAAUAGUACAUUUAAUAAGAUAUUUUAAAAUGCCAAAAUAGAAAUUAAAAUGUUGAAAUACUGAGGUGCAGCAUCAAUUGGAUAGAUGUAGGAUUCACAUAAUUUUGGUACUUUCUGUUGGACCCGGAAGCAUUAAGCUCAAUGCUUCCAGGAAAUCCCUGUUUAUUAUCAUUUCAUUCAGACUAUUAUUUGGCACCAACCAGUACUCUCCUGUAAGAGAACCGAUGGAGUAGUGUGCUCAAAUGUAAUUGGCAGCUUUCAAGUUGAUCCUAGCAUACAAUUUUGUAAAACAACAUUUUUAUUUAUGAUAGAAAAGUUGAUGGAGAAAAGCUAUGAAAAUCCUUCGAAUUAGAUUCUCGUUUGAUUUCCGUGGCCCAUUAACAUUUUCAUUUGUAUUAGAACUACUGAAGAAAAUUGUUCGUGUAAACAUUAAAACCACACUAACAAUAUAUCGGUGGUCUGAAAAAUUCUAAUUUUAUGCCCUGGUAUGGUAUGACAAUAUGGCUUCCCAAGGCCUCGAACUUCACCAUGGCAGGGAUAAAUCAGCAGUGCUGCAAUACAAAAUAUCUUUGAUGGUAUUUUUUGUUAUUAUCACAUAUUUGUCUGUACUAUCAAAAUGUAUGACCUGAACGUAAAGCUAUAUAGUAACAUUAUGAUUUUUAGAUCAAACUGGGAAAAUUAAACCAAAUAAUUAACAAAUAUUUUUCUCUACAUCCACAAAUGCUAUAACCAACUUUAUUACCCCAGUGGUCACUUAUAAUUGGGAAAAUAUUGUUUCAUAUUUUCUCAUUGAGAAAUAUUCUGCAUUGGUAUAAUGUACACUAAAAUUGGACAAUUUGAGGCUUACAAACCAGUGAUAUUGUCAGUACUAAAUAUGACUUCACGAUGAUUUGGCAAGCUAACAAAAUGAUGUCAUCUAGUUUAAAGAGUUUGCCUUUAUGAUUUUGUUUUAAAUGUUAAACUUGUAAUAAAAUGUUAUUUUAAUGCAAUUCAUUAUAAAAAGAUUUUUAAACAGAAUAUAUAGAACUUUUGUUUUUGAAAAUUAUCUGUGAACAUGGUUGAAAUACAGAGUUUUACUCAGA
Molecule: unclassified non-coding RNA, 3852 nt
Filed under: Gigantopelta aegis
Lineage: Eukaryota; Metazoa; Mollusca; Gastropoda; Neomphalida; Peltospiridae
Description: replication termination factor 2-like, transcript variant X3
Source: RNAcentral